UUAGUGGCGCACGGGUGCGUAACGCGUGGGAAUCUGCCCUUUGGUUCGGAAUAACAGCUGGAAACGGCUGCUAAUACCGGAUGAUGACGAAAGUCCAAAGAUUUAUCGCCAGAGGAUGAGCCCGCGUUGGAUUAGGUAGUUGGUGGGGUAAAGGCCUACCAAGCCGACGAUCCAUAGCUGGUCUGAGAGGAUGAUCAGCCACACUGGGACUGAGACACGGCCCAGACUCCUACGGGAGGCAGCAGUGGGGAAUAUUGGACAAUGGGCGAAAGCCUGAUCCAGCAAUGCCGCGUGAGUGAUGAAGGCCCUAGGGUUGUAAAGCUCUUUUACCCGGGAAGAUAAUGACUGUACCGGGAGAAUAAGCCCCGGCUAACUCCGUGCCAGCAGCCGCGGUAAUACGGAGGGGGCUAGCGUUGUUCGGAAUUACUGGGCGUAAAGCGCACGUAGGCGGCUUUGUAAGUCAGAGGUGAAAGCCUGGAGCUCAACUCCAGAACUGCCUUUGAGACUGCAUCGCUUGAAUCCAGGAGAGGUCAGUGGAAUUCCGAGUGUAGAGGUGAAAUUCGUAGAUAUUCGGAAGAACACC
This 583-nucleotide ribosomal RNA is filed under the name Sphingomonas yabuuchiae. Its description in RNAcentral is "bacterial SSU rRNA". It matches the Rfam family "Bacterial small subunit ribosomal RNA", at positions 92 to 710 of the family's 1533-position model. Lineage: Bacteria; Pseudomonadati; Pseudomonadota; Alphaproteobacteria; Sphingomonadales; Sphingomonadaceae. The record is from RNAcentral.